GUGCUCGCUUCAGCAGCACAUAUACUAAAAUUGGAACAAUACAGAGAAGAUUAGCACGGCCCCUGUGCAAAGAUGACACACAAAUUCAUGAAGCAUUCCAUAUUUUU
Molecule: small nuclear RNA, 107 nt
Organism: Loxodonta africana (African savanna elephant)
Lineage: Eukaryota; Metazoa; Chordata; Mammalia; Proboscidea; Elephantidae
Source: Ensembl